CAGCCGCCACGGGAAUACGAAGGGUGCAAGCGUUACUCGUAAUUACUGGGCGUAAAGCGUGCGUAGGUGGUGGUUUAAGUCCGUUGUGAAAGCCCUGGGCUCAACCUGGGAAUUGCAGUGGAUACCGGAUCACUAGAGUGUGGUAGAGGAUAGUGGAAUUUCCGGUGUAGCAGUGAAAUGCGUAGAGAUCGGAAGGAACAUCUGUGGCGAAGGCGACUAUCUGGGCCAACACUGACACUGAGGCACGAAAGCGUGGGGAGCAAACAGGAUUAGAUACCCGAGUAGUCCCUGUCUCUUAUAA
This 301-nucleotide ribosomal RNA is filed under the name uncultured bacterium. RNAcentral describes it as "partial 16S ribosomal RNA". It matches the Rfam family "Bacterial small subunit ribosomal RNA", at positions 509 to 809 of the family's 1533-position model. The record is from RNAcentral.